Molecule: long non-coding RNA, 370 nt
Filed under: Mytilus galloprovincialis (Mediterranean mussel)
Lineage: Eukaryota; Metazoa; Mollusca; Bivalvia; Mytilida; Mytilidae
Source: RNAcentral
AUUUUAUCUGUUUAACGAGAAAAUUUGUAAGAAAUUAGGGUCGAGGGGGCGAAAUAAAAAAAAAAAUAAAAGUGCAAAAUUGGUCCAGUCGACACUAAAAAUAAAAAUAAAACCAUUACAUGUGACAUCUAACCAAAAGUAUGUUAAUGUGUGUGGAAUGCGUAAUUUUCCCUUUUGGGAUCAAUUUUUGUCUGUCAGCAGUGCCAUUCAUGCGUCUGUAGUCAUUAUCGCAAGAAUCCGGAUUUCGGUCAUAGCGGGUCCGUUUCCGAUGAAAUCCCGAUUCCGAUCCGUAGUUCUACAAAUUUAAAUGUCGGACGAAGAAAAAUUUACAAAAAUAAACGAUGUUUGAUACGCUAUUUGGAAAGGAAUA